GGAAGGAAGUACGUGGACUAAAACUGCAGCAGCUGUGAAAGUUUGAUCCACAAACAUGGCCGCGCACGAGGAGUUCUUUGCGGGUAUACCCAAGAUCCAGUAUGUGCCAGAUGCUGGACCUGGAGAUGUCAUGUGCUUCAAACACUACAAUCCAACAGAGGUUCUGAUGGGGAGGACGAUGGAGGACUGGCUGAGGUUCUCCGUCUGCUACUGGCACUCCUUCUGUGGAACUGGUGCCGAUCCUUUCGGCUUUCCAACUCUCCUCCAGCGAGUCUGGAAUGAAGGGACUCCGAUGGAAGCAGCCAAGAAGCGACUCCGGGCUGCUUUUGAGUUUUUCACCAAGCUUGGCGUCAAGUUUUACACAUUUCAUGACAGAGACAUGUCCCCCGAGGGCGCCACCCUGGAGGAGUCCAACAAGAAUCUGGAUGAAAUAACGGACCUGGCUCUGCAGCUGCAAACCCAGACUGGAGUCAAGGUGCUGUGGGUCACCUGCAACCUCUUUGCUCAUCCAAGGUACAUGAAUGGUGCAGCCACAAACCCAGACUGCCAUGUUCUGGCCUAUGCUGGUGCUCAGGUGAAAAAGGGUCUGGAUGUUGCCAAGAAACUAGGUGCAGAGAACUUCGUAUUUUGGGGAGGAAGAGAAGGUUUCCACUCAAUCCUCAACACUGAUGUCGCUGCUGAACUGAAGCACAUGGCCGGCUUCUUCAAAAUGGCCGCCAGGUACAAAGAGAAGAUUGGGCUGAAGUGUCAGUUUCUGAUUGAGCCCAAGCCAAAGGAGCCCUGCAGACACCAGUAUGAUUACGACGCCAUGAGUGUUAUAGGAUUCCUAAAGCAUCACGGCCUGGAGAGGGACUUUAAACUGAACAUCGAGCCCAACCACACCACCCUGGCAGGACACUCCUAUGAACAUGACAUUGUCGUGGCCUCUGCUUUUGGUAUGCUGGGUUCAGUAGACUCAAACACUGGCUCUCCAGACCUGGGAUGGGACACAGAUCAGUUCCCCAUGGACAUCAGAAACACCACAUUGGUCAUGAAGACUAUCGUUGAACAAGGUGGCCUGCAGCCAGGAGGCCUGAACUUUGAUGCAAAGGUGCGCAGAGAGUCCACCGACCUGGAGGAUCUGUUCAUCGCUCACAUUGGGGCGAUGGACGCCUUCGCCAGAGGGUUGAGAAACGCUGUCCACAUCAUUGAGGACGGGCUUAUCACUGGCAUGGUGAAGGAGCGGUACUCAAGCUUCAGUCAUGGCCUUGGACAGAAGGUGGAGGACGGUUCAGCCACCUUAGAGGAGAUGGAGGCUUUCAUCAAGGAGAACGGGGAGCCGAAGGUAACAUCAGGGAAGCAAGAAAAAUACGAGUCCAUCUUUAAUCACUACAUAUAA
This is a long non-coding RNA of Parambassis ranga (Indian glassy fish), 1378 nucleotides long. NCBI's taxonomy places the organism in Eukaryota, Metazoa, Chordata, Actinopteri, Ambassidae. The record is from Ensembl.